RNAcentral lists this ribosomal RNA (116 nucleotides) under Pteropus alecto (black flying fox). RNAcentral also lists the same sequence under 1 other name. Lineage: Eukaryota; Metazoa; Chordata; Mammalia; Chiroptera; Pteropodidae. The record is from RNAcentral.
GUCUACAGCCAUGCCACCCUGAACAAGCCCAGUGUCUGAUCUCAGAAGCUAAGCAGGGUUGGGCCUGGUUAGUACUUGGAUGGAAGACCACCUAGGAAGACCAGGUGCUGUAGGCA